AUUGAACGCUGGCGGCAGGCCUAACACAUGCAAGUCGAACGGUAACAGGAAACAGCUUGCUGUUUCGCUGACGAGUGGCGGACGGGUGAGUAAUGUCUGGGAAACUGCCUGAUGGAGGGGGAUAACUACUGGAAACGGUAGCUAAUACCGCAUAACGUCGCAAGACCAAAGAGGGGGACCUUCGGGCCUCUUGCCAUCGGAUGUGCCCAGAUGGGAUUAGCUAGUAGGUGGGGUAAAGGCUCACCUAGGCGACGAUCCCUAGCUGGUCUGAGAGGGUGACCAGCCCAACUGGAACUGAGCCACGGUCCAGACCCCUACGGGAGGCAGCAGUGGGAAAUAUUGCACAAUGGGCGCAAGCCUGAUGCAGCCAUGCCGCGUGUAUGAAGAAGGCCUUCGGGUUGUAAAGUACUUUCAGCGGGGAGGAAGGGAGUAAAGUUAAUACCUUUACUCAUUGACGUUACCCGAAGAAGAAGCACCGGCUAACUCCGU
Molecule: ribosomal RNA, 489 nt
Filed under: uncultured bacterium
Lineage: Bacteria
Description: partial 16S ribosomal RNA
Rfam family: Bacterial small subunit ribosomal RNA
Source: RNAcentral